Molecule: ribosomal RNA, 260 nt
Filed under: uncultured Basidiomycota
Lineage: Eukaryota; Fungi; Basidiomycota
Description: partial 18S ribosomal RNA
Rfam family: Eukaryotic small subunit ribosomal RNA
Source: RNAcentral
AAGCUCGUAGUUGAAUUUCGGCCUCUGCCACCCGGUCCGCCUAUUUGGGUGUGUACUGGAGUGGUGGAGGCUUACCUCGUGGUGAACGGCGAUGUCCUUUACUGGGCGUCGUCGGGAACCAUGACUUUUACUUUGAAAAAAUUAGAGUGUUCAAAGCAGGCUUACGCCCGAAUACAUUAGCAUGGAAUAAUAAAAUAGGACGUGCGGUCCUAUUUUGUCGGUUUCUAGGAUCGCCGUAAUGAUUAAUAGGGAUAGUUGGG